Molecule: non-coding RNA, 2225 nt
Organism: Peromyscus maniculatus bairdii (prairie deer mouse)
Lineage: Eukaryota; Metazoa; Chordata; Mammalia; Rodentia; Cricetidae
Source: RefSeq, a predicted model, not a curated record
UUGAUGUCUGUAAGCUCAUCUUCCUUCAACUAUAUACCCUCCCUCCUCUUUCCUCAUUUCCCUGAUGGUUUACCUGGUGGAAUGAAGAUACACACUGUGUCAGCAGAAAUCAGUUCCAUGCCCUGAGGACUUUUGAAGAGGUUAAUUGCUGUAGUAGGGAUGGAGCCUUAGUUCAACAUGACUAGAGUCCCUGUGAGAAGAGGAGAGCACCAGAACACUCAUGAACAGAGAAGAGACCAUGUAAGGAUCCAGAUGAAAGGUGGCUGCCUGCCUGCCUGCCAGGGAGAGCGGUGUCCAGAGAAACUUGCCUUGUGGUGAUGUGAGGCUGCCCCCACACCAUGGCUGUAAGGUGCAGCCACAGUAUAAAUAGCUACAGAACAGGGAUUGUCACCCAGGCCAAGAAAGACUUUCUAGCAGUAUCCCUCACAGGCUUGAGGCCUGCCUUCCCCUCCUGCUCCUCCAGGCAGAGGGAAAACCACUCCAGUAUCACAGAAAAGCAAAAUUAAAAGGGCCAAACACAAAUGAACCAUGUUUACCACAACAGCAAGCUACAGUGUUUGCCUAGUGCUAUAGUUCCAUGAUGGGCACAAUUCUAUAACCACUGGGAAAUGCCAGCCACCUCUCCAGCUUUUAGGAUCUUGUAACUCUAGGUGUAGGGUGCAAGCAGCAGUAAAUUCCCUGUGUGCUUCUGCAUGUGGGGUGUUGUGCUGAGACGCUUCUUAGCAUUGUCGGGUCAGCAAACAGCUGUUCUGCGUGAUCUUCUGGUCUAGCACACACCACAGCAUGGACCUCAGGAGGACACCAAGGUAACCACCUGCGUGCUUGCUCUUUAUUCCUCUCAGAAUCCUGGUUGAAUAAACUGUGUUGAUUGCUUCGUACAGCCCUACUGUAUGUCAAGCAGUGUUAAGCACCAAGGAAAGACUGCUGAAGACAGACAGGAUUCACCAAAGCACUCAAGGAACUCACAGUUCAAUAAGGAAUGGUGGCAUGCAAACAUUUUGUAUAAAAAUUAGAUUUCUUCUUGGAGAUGAAUGUGGUCAUUGUGCCCUCGGUGUUGGGGUGUAUAUGGAGAAAUGUGUCCACAGAGGAGACCUAAAAGCACAUGCAGACGAUCUGAUGGAGCUGCCCCAGUGUUCUUUUGUCCCUUGGUCUUCUGUGGAAAGGACUGGUAUAAUUUAUAGUUUACAUGAUCCCAUAUCAUGCUGACAGCAGUAGAGAUUUUUCGGGCAAGAAUGGCCAUCCCCAUUUUCCAGAUAAGAAAAUUGACACUAAGAAAGAUCUAGGCACUUGCUAUGGCCAUGGAGGUAAUAUGUGGCAGUGGCAGGAUUAUAAACCACUGUUCGUCGAGAACUCUACAGAAGGAGGAGCUGUGUGUCAAACAGAGCUGGCCAUAGUAGAGCCUCGCAGGCACACCUGGCUGGUCUGCCACCUGUAUAGCAGGUUAUCUAAGGAUCAACCAAACUCACACCAAAGAUAUGGGAAGCUGAGCGUGGUGACACAAGGCUACAAUCCAAGAACUUGGGAGACGAGGAAGGAACAUCAGAGUUCAAGGUCAUCUUGGCUACAUAGCAAGUUUGAGGUCAACCUGAACUCAACAUGAGACCUGCCUCAAAAACAAACAAAAAGGAGGAAAGAAAGAAAGACAAAAGAGAAAAAGAAAGAGGAGAAAAGUAUGGGAGAGUCUGCAUCUAUACCGGCUGGUUUCUUGGCAUCAUUCUUUGGACAAUACAGUAUAGCAACUUAUACACCAUUUACAUGUAUUUGGCCCCAUAAGUCACCUAAAGGUGAUUUACAGCAUUCAGGGGGAUAACAUAAGUGUCAUGCACACAAUCCUCCAUUUCAUGUAUGGCAUCCUGAGGGAAGUUCUGGAACCAUCAAGCCGUAGAUGCCAAAUAAAGGCUGAACUUGAACUGCUUCUCUGCUCUUGGGGUCUUCUGUGCAGAUUCCCCAUCUCUGCCUUUUCCUCGACCUUCUCAUCUCUGUGAUAGUCAAAUCUGUCUGCUCUCCCUAACUCAAUGGAUCUAAAAGUCUGGUCCCUAAACCUAUAGUACCAAAAUCACCUGGGAACUCAUUAGAAAUGCUGAUUCUCAAGUUCUAUAAGAAUUUUUUAUUUACAAUGCCACAGAAUUCCCAAUAAGCUCUCUAGGAUUCUGUGGGAUUCUAAAAUCUUAAGAACCACCCUGAAUUAAACUAAAUUGCCACACUCCUCUCUAGUCCCAAGGACA